Molecule: transfer RNA, 90 nt
Filed under: Chromatiaceae bacterium
Lineage: Bacteria; Pseudomonadati; Pseudomonadota; Gammaproteobacteria; Chromatiales; Chromatiaceae
Description: tRNA-Ser
Rfam family: tRNA
About the family: Transfer RNA (tRNA) molecules are approximately 80 nucleotides in length.
Source: RNAcentral
GGAGAGAUGUCCGAGUGGUUGAAGGAGCACGCCUGGAAAGUGUGUAUACGUUAAUCGCGUAUCGAGGGUUCGAAUCCUCUCUCUCCGCCA